GACGAACGCUGGCGGCGCGCCUAACACAUGCAAGUCGAACGAGCGAGAGAGAGCUUGCUUUCUUGAGCGAGUGGCGAACGGGUGAGUAACGCGUGAGGAACCUGCCUCAAAGAGGGGGACAACAGUUGGAAACGACUGCUAAUACCGCAUAAGCCCACGACCCGGCAUCGGGUUGAGGGAAAAGGAGUGAUCCGCUUUGAGAUGGCCUCGCGUCCGAUUAGCUAGUUGGUGAGGUAACGGCCCACCAAGGCAACGAUCGGUAGCCGGACUGAGAGGUUGAACGGCCACAUUGGGACUGAGACACGGCCCAA
RNAcentral lists this ribosomal RNA (311 nucleotides) under uncultured bacterium. RNAcentral's name for it is "bacterial SSU rRNA". It matches the Rfam family "Bacterial small subunit ribosomal RNA", at positions 28 to 334 of the family's 1533-position model. The record is from RNAcentral.